RNAcentral lists this ribosomal RNA (433 nucleotides) under uncultured bacterium. RNAcentral's name for it is "partial 16S ribosomal RNA". It matches the Rfam family "Bacterial small subunit ribosomal RNA", at positions 29 to 507 of the family's 1533-position model. The record is from RNAcentral.
AACGAACGCUGGCGGCAUGCCUAACACAUGCAAGUCGAACGAGACCUUCGGGUCUGGUGGCGCACGGGUGCGUCACGCGUGGGAACCUGCCCUUAUGCUCCGAAUACCUCCCCGAAAGGGGUGCUAACAUCGGGUAAUUUCUUCGGAUCAAAGAUUCAUCCCCCUUGGAUGGGCCCGCGUUGGAUUAGCUAGUUGGUAGGGUAAAAGCCUAUCAAGGCGACGAUACAUAGCUGGUUUGAGAGGAUGAUCAGCCACACUGGGACUGAGACACGGCCCAGACUCCUACGGGAGGGAGCAGUGGGGAAUAUUGGACAAUGGGCGAAAGCCUGAUGCAGCAAUGCCGGGUGAGUGAUGAAGGCCUUAGGGUUGUAAAGCUCUUUUACCCGGGAUGAUAAUGACAGUACCGGGAGAAUAAGCUCCGGCUAACUCCGUG